Molecule: ribosomal RNA, 254 nt
Filed under: uncultured bacterium
Lineage: Bacteria
Description: partial 16S ribosomal RNA
Rfam family: Bacterial small subunit ribosomal RNA
Source: RNAcentral
UACGGAGGGUGCAAGCGUUAUCCGGAUUUACUGGGCUUAAAGGGCUCGUAGGUGGAUCCGCCAGUCUGACGUGAAAUCUCCACCGCUCACCGGGGAGGGGCCGUUGGAUACUACGGAUCUGGAGUUCGGCAGAGGACCAUGGAAUUUCGGGUGUAGCGGUGGAAUGCGUAGAUAUCCGAAAGAACACCGGUGGCGAAGGCGGUGGUCUGGGCCUGAACUGACGCUGAGGAGCGAAGGCCAGGGGAGCAAACGGG